Pogonomyrmex barbatus (red harvester ant) is the source of this 471-nucleotide long non-coding RNA. The record is from RefSeq and is a predicted model, not a curated record. Lineage: Eukaryota; Metazoa; Arthropoda; Insecta; Hymenoptera; Formicidae.
UUAAUGCCCGUUUAUUUGGUCGAACUGACGUUCACGCUCGCGGUUGUUCGUGCAUGCGCACGAUUCGUUUUCCGUCUCUUCACGUGUCGUUCAUUUUACUUUGAGAAACUCUCGGAGGAGGUUGACUCGAAAUCCAAAGUGAUCUGGCGAUUCCGGAGUGAUCUAGGAUCGUCUAAACUACGAAAUGAGAGCUAAGUGGCGUAAGAAGAGGAUGCGGAGGCUAAAGCGUAAGAGGAGGAAGAUGCGCGCGAGGUCUAAAUAAGUGGCUCCUCUGCAUCCCACCAGUCUCUCCGUGGGAGGAACAGACCUAUGAUGUUUCACCAUUUGACAAACACUCCUAGCUGAAUAAAAAUUUAUCUCAAGGAGGUGAAUCUUCAGUGGACAUGUUUUUCGUACAGAGAGAAUUUUGUACACACGAAUCUUGUUUGGUUAAAUACAUAAACUAUUCAAGAGAAAACAUAGACUUCCAUC